GCGUUGUCCGGAUUUAUUGGGUUUAAAGGGUGCGUAGGCGGCGGGACAAGCGUGCGGUGAAAGCUCGGGGCUCAACCCCGCGUCGGCCGUGCGAACUGUUUUGCUUGAGCACUGUAGAGGCAGGCGGAAUUCCGGGUGUAGCGGUGGAAUGCGUAGAGAUCCGGAAGAACACCGGUGGCGAAGGCGGCCUGCUGGGCAGUAGCUGACACUGAGGCGCGACAGCGUG
Molecule: ribosomal RNA, 226 nt
Filed under: uncultured bacterium
Lineage: Bacteria
Description: partial 16S ribosomal RNA
Rfam family: Bacterial small subunit ribosomal RNA
Source: RNAcentral